This 301-nucleotide ribosomal RNA is filed under the name Pseudomonas aeruginosa. RNAcentral's name for it is "bacterial LSU rRNA". It matches the Rfam family "Bacterial large subunit ribosomal RNA", at positions 1490 to 1775 of the family's 2925-position model. The record is from RNAcentral. Lineage: Bacteria; Pseudomonadati; Pseudomonadota; Gammaproteobacteria; Pseudomonadales; Pseudomonadaceae.
GCUUGGCGUUGGUUGUCCAAGUUUAAGGUGGUAGGCUGAAAUCUUAGGUAAAUCCGGGGUUUCAAGGCCGAGAGCUGAUGACGAGUCGUCUUUUAGAUGACGAAGUGGUUGAUGCCAUGCUUCCAAGAAAAGCUUCUAAGCUUCAGGUAACCAGGAACCGUACCCCAAACCGACACAGGUGGUCGGGUAGAGAAUACCAAGGCGCUUGAGAGAACUCGGGUGAAGGAACUAGGCAAAAUGGCACCGUAACUUCGGGAGAAGGUGCGCCGGCUAGGGUGAAGGAUUUACUCCGUAAGCUCUG